UUCAACUCCGUGCUGUUAUUAUGAGCAACGGAAGCUGUGCUAAAGCAAUUUUUCUUGUUCUUCAAGAUGUUACAAAACCUUCAGUGGUGGGGGGAAAAAGGAGGAGUGAGAAAGAUAAGAUAAAGGCCUAUCCUCUGAAUUUACCUAGAGCUGCUCCUCAAACCAAGCCAAAGAAUCUGGAGCAUGUACAUCCCAGAUCAUGCCGAGAUCUAGAGAGCACACUCAUCCUAUUCAGAGCUGGGAAAAUUUGCACUGUCAAAAUCUGAAUUCUUUGUGGAAUAACAAAGAGUUGCCCACACACCAGCUAGGAGGCUGAGUCAUGCACAGACCCCUGCCUUCACAUCCUUGCUUGGGUGCUCUGCCUCUCCUAAUGUACUCAUGUGUCAGUGGUCACAAAGGAUGCCCUUAUUCACAAAACUCAGAGAGUGAUGCAUGUCUCACAGCAGUCCUUGACAACAGACUGGUGCAUCAGACACAAGGUAUAGCAAAGAGAGAGCUACAGAAUCAGAGACUAAUUUUUUGCCAGUGACUAUAGUGUAGUUGGAGACGGGUCUGAAUUUCAUGGUAGGAACCAAACUGUGGUAAAGAUAACUGUGGAGACAUUUUUCACUUGUAUCUUUUACAAGAUAAAGUAUUGCAACACAUUCUUGCACAACCAGCAAUGCUCUGGUACAACAGUAGUGUUGUGAUAUAUGAAUUGAGAUUGACUUCCUCAGUAGAUAUAAAGUAGCUGUCAAAGAAAGGCCAUGUGACAGGUGGGAAUGUUGUUAAAAAUUCAGAUUUGCUUAUACCCUUUGCUGAUGGUAUGAAAGCCUUAACGGUCAUAAACUUUGCUGCAGAACAGCAGCUGAAGGCCAUCAAACCAUUGGACUACCCUUUCUCCUCAAGCCAUUCUUCCAAUAUCAAGCUGCUGAGCUUAGUUGUUUCAGCUGCAUAUUUAAGUUUCUUCACUAAAUAAUUCAUUGUUUCUUAGUGCGGUGAUACAUAUUAGGACUUUUAGGCAUGCCUUUUUCCACCUGGGAUCUGCCUCUGUGUCCUCUCCAUGUCCUGGCCACAGCUGGAACACCAAAUACUGCUUUACAACAUCGGCUUUCCAAAAUCUGGAUCUUCAGAAUUUAUUUCUAACCCCUUCUCUUUGAUAGGCUGGAUUACAUCCUUACUCAGCCAUCUUCACUUAACAUGGAGUUUGCC
This 1191-nucleotide long non-coding RNA is filed under the name Phasianus colchicus (ring-necked pheasant). RNAcentral's name for it is "lncRNA (ENSPCLG00000016168.1)". Lineage: Eukaryota; Metazoa; Chordata; Aves; Galliformes; Phasianidae. The record is from RNAcentral.